AGCGAACGCUGACGGCAGGCUUAACACAUGCAAGUCGAGCGGGCAUAGCAAUAUGUCAGCGGCAGACGGGUGAGUAACGCGUGGGAACGUACCUUUUGGUUCGGAACAACACAGGGAAACUUGUGCUAAUACCGGAUAAGCCCUUACGGGGAAAGAUUUAUCGCCGAAAGAUCGGCCCGCGUCUGAUUAGCUAGUUGGUGAGGUAAUGGCUCACCAAGGCGACGAUCAGUAGCUGGUCUGAGAGGAUGAUCAGCCACAUUGGGACUGAGACACGGCCCAAACUCCUACGGGAGGCAGCAGUGGGGAAUAUCGGACAAUGGGCGCAAGCCUGAUCCAGCCAUGCCGCGUGAGUGAUGAAGGCCCUAGGGUUGUAAAGCUCUUUUGUGCGGGAAGAUAAUGACGGUACCGCAAGAAUAAGCCCCGGCUAACUUCGUGCCAGCCGCCGCCGUAA
RNAcentral lists this ribosomal RNA (451 nucleotides) under uncultured bacterium. RNAcentral describes it as "partial 16S ribosomal RNA". It matches the Rfam family "Bacterial small subunit ribosomal RNA", at positions 29 to 523 of the family's 1533-position model. The record is from RNAcentral.